UGCAUGUCGAGCGGAGUUGCCUUCGGGUAACUUAGCGGCGAAUGGGUGAGUAACACGUACUUAACGUGCCCUCUAGAUUGGAAUAACGAUUAGAAAUGAUCGCUAAUGCCGGAUACUUAUUAGUUUCGCAUGAAAUUAAUAUAAAAGGAGCGUUUGCUUCACUAGAGGAUCGGGGUGCGUAACAUUAGCUAGUUGGUAAGGUAAUGGCUUACCAAGGCGAUGAUGUUUAGCGGGGUUGAGAGACUGAUCCGCCACACUGGGACUGAGAUACGGCCCAGACUCCUACGGGAGGCAGCAGUAGGGAAUUUUCCACAAUGGACGAAAGUCUGAUGGAGCGACACAGCGUGCAGGAAGACGGCCUUCGGGUUGUAAACUGCUGUUAUAAGGGAAGAAAAAACCAUAUAGGAAAUGAUAUGGUCUUGACGGUACCUUGUCAGAAAGCAACGGCUAACUAUGUGCCAGCAGCCGCGGUAAUACAUAGGUUGCAAGCGUUAUCCGGAAUUAUUGGGCGUAAAGCGUCUGUAGGUUGUGUGUUAAGUCUGACGUCAAAACUUGGGGCUCAACCCCAAAUCGCGUUGGAUACUGGCACGCUAGAAUUGUGUAGAGGUUAGCGGAAUUCCUAGUGAAGCGGUGAAAUGCGUAGAUAUUAGGAAGAACAUCAACAUGGCGAAGGCAGCUAACUGGGCACAUAUUGACACUGAGAGACGAAAGCGUGGGGAGCAAACAGGAUUAGAUACCCUGGUAGUCCACGCCGUAAACGAUGAUGAUUAGCUGAUGGGAACCAUCGGCGCAGCUAACGCAUUAAAUCAUCCGCCUGAGUAGUAUGCUCGCAAGAGUGAAACUUAAAGGAAUUGACGGGGACCCGCACAAGCGGUGGAGCAUGUGGUUUAAUUUGAAGAUACGCGUAGAACCUUACCCACUCUUGACAUCUUCUGCAAAGCUAUAGAGAUAUAGUGGAGGUUAACAGAAUGACAGAUGGUGCAUGGUUGUCGUCAGCUCGUGUCGUGAGAUGUUCGGUUAAGUCCUGCAACGAGCGCAACCCCUAUCCUUAGUUAAAUGUUCUAGGGAGACUGCCCGAGUAAUCGGGAGGAAGGUGGGGACGACGUCAAAUCAUCAUGCCUCUUACGAGUGGGGCAACACACGUGCUACAAUGGAUGGUACAAAGAGAAGCAAUACGGCGACGUGGAGCAAAUCUCAAAAAACCAUUCUCAGUUCGGAUUGUAGUCUGCAACUCGACUACAUGAAGUCGGAAUCGCUAGUAAUCGUAGAUCAGCUACGCUACGGUGAAUACGUUCUCGGGUCUUGUACACACCGCCCGUCACACCAUGGGAGCUGGUAAUGCCCGAAGUCGGUUAUGUUAACUACGGAAACAACCGCCUAAGGC
Molecule: ribosomal RNA, 1384 nt
Filed under: Mycoplasma sp.
Lineage: Bacteria; Bacillati; Mycoplasmatota; Mollicutes; Mycoplasmatales; Mycoplasmataceae
Description: bacterial SSU rRNA
Rfam family: Bacterial small subunit ribosomal RNA
Source: RNAcentral